This 253-nucleotide ribosomal RNA is filed under the name uncultured bacterium. RNAcentral describes it as "partial 16S ribosomal RNA". It matches the Rfam family "Bacterial small subunit ribosomal RNA", at positions 524 to 776 of the family's 1533-position model. The record is from RNAcentral.
UACAGAGGGUGCGAGCGUUAAUCGGAGUUACUGGGCGUAAAGGGCGCGUAGGCGGUUGAUUAAGUGUGGUGUGAAAUCCCUGGGCUUAACCUAGGAACUGCAUUCGAUACUGCCGUGCUUGAGGACUGGAGAGGAGACUGGAAUUUACGGUGUAGCGGUGAAAUGCGUAGAUAUCGGGAAGAACACCCGUGGCGAAGGCGGUUCUCUGGGACGGUACUGACGCUGAGACGCGAAAGCGUGGGGAGCGAACAGG